AGGAGCUAAGUGGGACACUAAAUUAAUGCCAAACAAAUGGUGGGAUGCACCCAGAAAGAGAUGACCUGUUGGAUAACCCGUGCCCAAACCUGACCUAGGUGAAAAAUUAGGAAUAGCAGAUAUUUGUAACGGUGACCCAGUAGUGAUGGACUCCCCAUGAGGAAUAACUGUGCUGACGGAGGAAGUUUCUCCCCAGUCUCAGGAUUUUUGCCUUAAAGGAUUUUGUUGCGUUGAGUUCCUCGCUUAUUCACCUGGAGCAAGGCAAGAAAAAUAAGAACCUGAACCUCUUUAAUCGUAGCCGUGAAACGAAGGUAGGAGUUGAAGAUGCUGUUCCUCCUGUGGGAGCCUGUACAGGCACAUAUCCAUAUGGCAUCCACUGCACUGUAACAGGCAAGCAGGACACAAAAUCACCUUUGAUUUUUGAUCUGAGAGAGUCUCUGUGCCAGUAACAAUACCGGAAAGAGCAUCCCCAACCUUAGGUUAGGUUAGUCCCUGUUGUAGAAUGGUAUUACUACUUCUUGCAUGGAAAAGAGGAGUCUUUCUAGUUUCUCCAAAAGCAAAAUGCAGACAAUGGCAACUAGCAUUAGUAGGAUCUGUUCAGGAUUUUUCACCUUUUUGUUGUU
This 623-nucleotide long non-coding RNA is filed under the name Calidris pugnax (ruff). RNAcentral's name for it is "lncRNA (ENSCPUG00000006002.1)". Lineage: Eukaryota; Metazoa; Chordata; Aves; Charadriiformes; Scolopacidae. The record is from RNAcentral.